UGGGGGGCUAGGGGAGUGAUAGCAUUAGGAGAAAUACCUAAUGUAGAUGACGGGAUGAUGGGUACAACUAACCACCAUGACACGUCUAUGCUUAUGUAACAGACUUACACAUUCUGCACAUGUAUCUCAGAAUUUAAAGUAUAUAUGUAAAAAAAGAAUACUAGAUAUACUGAAUACUAGAAUACUACGUAUUAACAUUGGGAAGGUGUAAGUGAUAUAUAUUGGGUUAACACAUAAGUUGCUUAAAACACAAGUUGCAGAACAGAAUAUGCAGUAUGAUUCUAUUAGUAUAAAUAGAGGAUUUCUGUAACUAUGCUUAUGUAAGCACAGAAAAUAUUCAGUAGAAUUCAUAAAGAAGCGAAUGAGCAGAUCAUUAUAGAAGAGAGAGAGCUAUUUUUGAAUAUUUAUAUUUUCUAAAUGUUAAUAGCAAUCAUGUAAUAUGUUUAGAAUUGAGAAAAAAACUAUUGUAGUUUAAAUAUUGUAGUGCAUCUCUGAAACAUUUGAGCUUUGUAAAUGACCAUUUAUAUAUCUUACAAUGCUAUGUAAAUGAUAAUUAUUCUCUCAUCAAUAUUUAAAAAAUAUUUUAGUUAGUAAUAUAUUAUAAAACAUGAUUGGCACCUGAGAAAAAAAGAAAAAAGAAAGAAACCACCUAAUAAUGCAAUAACUAUCAUUAUAGUAACAUUUAACUCAUAAUAAAUUCAUUACAGUCAAUUACACAAUUAAAGAAAUAAUGUGGUAGUAUGAGUCGUAAGGUAAAUAAAUAGAGAAAUAUAUUACACAAAUUAGAUUAUGUGUGAAACAAUGGUGGAUUAAAGAGUUCAUUUAUUGGAAUGAGCUAAAAAGAAAAAUCACAUGCAAAAGGGAUAAAAACAUACAUUUUAGCUUUCAUGGUAAAUAACAAAGAAGUAGAUAAUCAUUUAUUCGUUCAUUUAAUAGUCAUAGUGGUGAUAUUACUCAUAUUAAAUUCACUAAAUGAUAAUGUGGCUGUGAGAUGCAGUGUUAGAAAUUCUGAUUUAAUUUUUAUAUUUUAUAUUAUUUGAGCAUUAAUUAACUUGGAAGCAUUUGUCUUUUGUUCUAGUAAACAUUUUAAAUAAAAAAAAAUGUCAGUUUUGUUGCUGUCACAAUGAUAGUAUAGGAUUAAGGAUUAGAGUAUUCACCUAGAUCUAAUGAGGAAUUUUAAUACUAUUUAAACGAAUUAGCUGUAUUUUUGUGGAUUUCAGUUUUGGUUUUGCUUUGCAGAAAUAAUAAAUAGAGUAUAUUUUGAUAGCAUUAUGGAAAGCAGUAAGUUGCAGCCUUUAGAUAACUUCUGAAAACCAGUAGAAUGCUUUCCUUUACUUGCAAAUGAGACCUAUGUAUAAAUUAACUUAUAAAACAAAAACGUAAAAUGAUAUGAAUUGAUACAUCUAGAUGUGUAAGAGGACCUUUAAGAGCAUGGCAACUGAGAAACCCUUUCACAUAUUGGUGAGAUUACAAAUGGCAGGAGAUUAUAGGGAUUAUUUAAAGGAAUUCCAGUAUCUAUGGAGCAGGAGGCAUUCCUAUGGGUGAGCCUGGUGUGCUUUAUAGUUGCAGAGACAUUUCAAUGUGGUCAUUGGGUCAGAUUGGAAAAGAGAGUUCCUUUAGGGGGACAAAUAUGUUCUUAAGUUAGCAUUGUGAAUCUCUGUAUAAAACUGGGAUGACUUUAUAUCAACACAGAUCCCUUCAUAGAAUUUGUGUGCCUGUAGGGUGACACUCACCCUGUUUAAGCAAUCAGCAGAGAUCAUUUAUUCCGACUGUCUCAUAUUAUGCACGAAGAAAAUAGAACCUACCCAAUGAAUAAACUUUGAAAUAGUGGUGCAUUUUAGAAGACUGUUCUGUAGAAUCUUAAGUAAAUGUAUAAUUUAUAUAUAAAUAAAUAUAUAAAUGCAUAAUUGUAUCCAGAUGCAGGAUUUAGAGAUAAAUCUGACUUGUCUGACUCACUCAGAUAUUUAGCAGAUCUAGAUCACUAUUUUUUUCCCAUUGUAGAAAUGAUGUUUUAUUUUCCAAGAAAACAGUAUAAUAAUGGAAAUAAUAUAUUUUCUUUAUUUAAAUUAAGAGAUUUAAUCUUAAGGAUUUUAAAUUAGCUGUCCUAAAUUAUUGUUAAUUAUUUAUAUGUUUAAAAUUAGAGUUUUAAUUUUAUGUAUAUAAACUCAUUUAUAUGAAUUAUAUUCCUAGAUAAGCUCAAUUUAUCUUAGUUUUAUAAUCCAAAAUUAGAAAUUAUCCAUUAUACUAGCAUUAGAAACAGAAAUUGAAUCAGUUCUUCCCCAGUCCCAUGGGCUUUUAUAAUUCCCAUGAAACUCAGUGGGAAUUUUCCAGUGUGUUGUUGAAAAAAGUGGGAUAAUUAAGAACUACCAUAUGAAAUAUUAUACAUUAGUUUUAUGGCAUUCGUUUUUAUUUAAUUAUGUUUGUGAAAUAACAUCAAUUUUUAUCUUUACCAAAGUAAUACAUAUUAAUUGCUCUCAAUAUAGCAAAUACAUAAGACUAAAAGGAAGUGAAAUAAUUAUAAUCUCAGUUCUGGAGAACUGUGAACAGGCUGGUAUACAUUUUCUAGUUAUUUUUUCUAUUUAUGUGUCUGAAGGAUAGCUAUAAUUGAAUAGUAUCUCAUUCUAUAACGCUAUGUAGUGAUUGCUUUUUGGAUACGUCCUAAUACACCUUUGCUAUAAGAAUUCAAUAUUUGUCUAACAUUAUUCUUAAUGGAUUCAUCAUUUUUCAUGUAAUUAUGCCUUAGGUGCUGGACAAAGAUCAGACUAGGUUUGAGGAAUGCUGAAAAUGAAAUUUAUGGAUAUCUAUUACUUCUACUCAUAAGCUUUAUCAAGCUAAAAAAGGUCGUCACUAUGCUUAUUGUUCAACUGCUAUCAACUUUCAGUGAAACAACAGAGACAGAUUAAGGUCAAGAGCACCAACUUCUGCAAGCUAAGAAGACCAAGACCAUGGUCCUGGCAUCUAGCAGGAGCGUCAUGCUGUGUCAACUCAUGGUGAAAGGCAGAAAGGCAAGAUAAGGUGAGGUUAAACCACUCUCAUCAUAACUAACUGACUCCAGUAAUGAUCACAUUAAUUUAUUUGUAAAAGCAGAGCUGGCCAGGUGCAGGCACUCACGCCUGUAAUCCCAGCACUAUGGAAGGCCAAGGCGAGUGGAUCACAAGGUCAGGAGUUUGA
Sapajus apella (tufted capuchin) is the source of this 3171-nucleotide long non-coding RNA. RefSeq lists it as uncharacterized. The record is from RefSeq and is a predicted model, not a curated record. The transcript has 3 exons. Lineage: Eukaryota; Metazoa; Chordata; Mammalia; Primates; Cebidae.